AACAACUCCGCUGACUUCCUUGCUAAGAAGGCUUGUAGAGAGGGAUCGCCUCACCGGAUCUGGGGUCAACCACCUCCUGAUUUAUCUGCGUCCUUGUAUUUAGACGCUAGUCGCUAGUUUCGUUUGCGUGUUUAAUUUUCCUACUGUAACAAAAAAAAAAAAAAGUACCAAUGAAGCACAAUUUAUAAUCUACCAAAACAAAAGAAGCACAAGCUUAUAGAAAGUCAUGUUACUGUAUAAAAAAAUAGAAAGUCAUGUUAAGCUUAAAAUAAUAUCAAUCAUGAGAUUCAAAUAUCUAACCAAUAUAGACAUCUCAUGUACACCAUAAUUUUCCAUCCAUCUCUCUUUGUUUCACGUCACAUCAUAUAGGAGGAAUCAUGAAAGUAAUACUAUCACUUCCGAAGUCCGAUUCUACGACCCGUGUAGUAACUCUUUGACC
RNAcentral lists this long non-coding RNA (439 nucleotides) under Lotus japonicus. RNAcentral describes it as "long non-coding RNA (LJAP_LNC000845)". Lineage: Eukaryota; Viridiplantae; Streptophyta; Magnoliopsida; Fabales; Fabaceae. The record is from RNAcentral.